AUGAACGCUGGCGGCGUGGAUAAGGCAUGCAAGUCAAAAGGGUUUAGACGCAAGUUUAAAUCCUUGGCGAACGAGGUAGUAACACGUAGGUACAUACCCUUUAGUUGGGCAUAACUAGCCGAAAGGUUGGAUAAUUCCCAAUGGUCUCGCAAGAGUAAAGAUUUAUCGCUAAAGGAAUGGCCUGCGACCUAUCAGCUAGUUGGUGAGGUAAUGGCUCACCAAGGCAAUGACGGGUAGGGGAGCUGAGAGGCUGACCCCCACCGAGGGAACUGCGACACGGUCCCUACACCUACGGGUGGCUGCAGCCGAGAAUAUUCGACAAUGGGCGAAAGCCUGAUCGAGCGACGCCGCGUGGUUGAUGAAGUCCUUCGGGACGUAAAAACCUUUUAUGAUUAAGAAAGUUUAUUGAUCUGAUCAUGAAUAAGGGGCUACCAACUCUGU
RNAcentral lists this ribosomal RNA (441 nucleotides) under uncultured bacterium. RNAcentral describes it as "partial 16S ribosomal RNA". It matches the Rfam family "Bacterial small subunit ribosomal RNA", at positions 29 to 506 of the family's 1533-position model. The record is from RNAcentral.